Molecule: ribosomal RNA, 497 nt
Filed under: uncultured bacterium
Lineage: Bacteria
Description: partial 16S ribosomal RNA
Rfam family: Bacterial small subunit ribosomal RNA
Source: RNAcentral
GAUGAACGCUGGCGGUGUGCCUAAUACAUGCAAGUCGAGCGAACAGACGAGGAGCUUUCUCCUCUGACGUUAGCGGCGGACGGGUGAGUAACACGUGGAUAACCUACCUAUAAGACUGGGAUAACUUCGGGAAACCGGAGCUAAUACCGGAUAACAUGUUGAACCGCAUGGUUCAACAGCGAAAGACGGUCUUGCUGUCACUUAUAGAUGGAUCCGCGUCGCAUUAGCUAGUUGGUAAGGUAACGGCUUACCAAGGCAACGAUGCGUAGCCGACCUGAGAGGGUGAUCGGCCACACUGGAACUGAGACACGGUCCAGACUCCUACGGGAGGCAGCAGUAGGGAAUCUUCCGCAAUGGGCGAAAGCCUGACGGAGCAACGCCGCGUGAGUGAAGAAGGUCUUCGGAUCGUAAAACUCUGUUAUUAGGGAAGAACAAAUGUGUAAGUAACUAUGCACGUCUUGACGGUACCUAAUCAGAAAGCCACGGCUAACUACGUG